CCCUUAGAUGUUCUGGGCCGCACACGCGCUACACUGAAGGAGGCAGCGUGUACUCCUGGAUCGAAAGAUUUGGGUAACCCGCGAAUCUCCUUCGUGCUAGGGAUUGAGGUUUGCAAUUAUCCUUCAUGAACGAGGAAUUCCCAGUAAGUGCAAGUCAUAAGCUUGCGCUGACUACGUCCCUGCCCUUUGUACACACCGCCCGUCGCUACUACCGAUUGAAUGAUUUAGUGAGGACUUCGGACUGGGACCGAUGCGGCUUUCGGGCUGCGUCGGUAUUCUGGAAAGAUGUCCAAUCUGUAUCAUUUAGAGGAAGUAAAAGUCGUAACA
RNAcentral lists this ribosomal RNA (327 nucleotides) under uncultured eukaryote. RNAcentral's name for it is "partial 18S ribosomal RNA". It matches the Rfam family "Eukaryotic small subunit ribosomal RNA", at positions 1470 to 1796 of the family's 1831-position model. The record is from RNAcentral.